This 452-nucleotide small RNA is filed under the name Pongo abelii (Sumatran orangutan). RNAcentral's name for it is "processed transcript". Lineage: Eukaryota; Metazoa; Chordata; Mammalia; Primates; Hominidae. The record is from RNAcentral.
AAGACAUCUAUCUUGCUGUGUUUGGACAGGCCCAGCCCCUGAAACAUCUUGGGCAAUGGAGGGUUAACUUCUCAAAGUUUAAUAGGCAAGACCAGCAACCAUGCAACAAGGACUUCAACUAACCAACUAAAGAACUGUUCCCCAGAGCAUUGUUCCUGAGGAGGAAAAGAGCCCAAACACCCACCCACACCUGCUUUGUGCCAAGAAUCCACAGUUGGAUUGCAAGGACAGUGUAUGUUGUCCUUUUGGAAAAAAUGAGAGUGAGCCCAAAUGAAGAGCAAGCAAAGGUGUUCAAGACCCAGCUGCUGAGAGUAGAAAAGCAGAAGAAAGGACCCGAGGUCAGCAAGUGCUCUCCCCACAAUGGGGCAGAUCUGCCAGCGAGAAUCGGCUACAGCAGCUGAAAAACCAAAACUUCAUCUACUUGCUGAAAGUGAGAUUGACAAGUAUCUCUA